This 138-nucleotide ribosomal RNA is filed under the name uncultured bacterium. RNAcentral's name for it is "partial 16S ribosomal RNA". It matches the Rfam family "Bacterial small subunit ribosomal RNA", at positions 355 to 507 of the family's 1533-position model. The record is from RNAcentral. RNAcentral also lists the same sequence under 1 other name.
UGGGGAAUAUUGGGCAAUGGGGGAAACCCUGACCCAGCAACGCCGCGUGAAGGAAGAAGGCCUUCGGGUUGUAAACUUCUUUUACCAGGGACGAAGAACGUGACGGUACCUGGAGAAAAAGCAACGGCUAACUACGUG